AAUCUGGGGUCCCCGACCUCCGAGUUGUAAUUUGGAGAGGCAUCUUCGGGGGGGAGCGCCGGCCCAUGUUCCUUGGGACAGGACGUCACAGAGGGUGAGAAUCCCGUGCCUGGCCGGCUGCCUCCUCCCGGGUGAAGGACCUUCGACGAGUCGAGUUGUUUGGGAAUGCAGCUCCAAGUGGGUGGUAAAUUUCAUCUAAAGCUAAAUACCGGCGGGAGACCGAUAGCGCACAAGUAGAGUGAUCGAAAGAUGAAAAGCACUUUGAAAAUAGAGUCAAAAAGUACGUGAAAUUGUUGAAAGGGAAGCGCUUGAGACCAGACUCGGGCCCGGGCAAACAUCGCGCCCCUCGGGGCCGUGCAAUUGCCUGGGCCUGGGCCAGCAUCAGUUGGCGUGGCGGGACAAAGGCGCGGGGAAUGUGGCUCCCCUCGGGGAGUGUUAUUAGGCCCGCGCUCAAUGCCGCCGACGUCGACUGAGGACCGCGCCUCGGCUAGGAUGCUGGCUUAAUGGCCUUCAGCGACCCGUCUUGAAACACGGACCAAGGAGUCUAACAUCUAUGCGAGUGUUUGGGCGACAAACCCUUGCGCGGAAUGAAAGUGAGCGGAGGUGGGAACCCCCCCGCGGGGCGCACCAUCGACCGAUCCUGAUGUCUUCGGAUGGAUUUGAGUA
Molecule: ribosomal RNA, 666 nt
Filed under: Helvella ephippioides
Lineage: Eukaryota; Fungi; Ascomycota; Pezizomycetes; Pezizales; Helvellaceae
Description: eukaryotic LSU rRNA
Rfam family: Eukaryotic large subunit ribosomal RNA
Source: RNAcentral